UACCCUGUAGUACCGAGCUGUGUUUGAGUGAUUAUGCAUACACGAUCGGUUGCCGGGUGAAU
This 62-nucleotide microRNA precursor is filed under the name Ascaris suum (pig roundworm). RNAcentral's name for it is "Asu-Mir-10-P1_pre stem-loop". It matches the Rfam family "mir-57 microRNA precursor family", at positions 12 to 74 of the family's 84-position model. The record is from RNAcentral. Lineage: Eukaryota; Metazoa; Nematoda; Chromadorea; Rhabditida; Ascarididae.